Molecule: ribosomal RNA, 495 nt
Filed under: uncultured bacterium
Lineage: Bacteria
Description: partial 16S ribosomal RNA
Rfam family: Bacterial small subunit ribosomal RNA
Source: RNAcentral
GACGAACGCUGGCGGCGUGCCUAAUACAUGCAAGUAGAACGCUGAAGGAGGAGCUUGCUUCUCUGGAUGAGUUGCGAACGGGUGAGUAACGCGUAGGUAACCUGCCUGGUAGCGGGGGAUAACUAUUGGAAACGAUAGCUAAUACCGCAUAAUAGUAGAUGUUGCAUGACAUUUGCUUAAAAGGUGCAAUUGCAUCACUACCAGAUGGACCUGCGUUGUAUUAGCUAGUUGGUGGGGUAACGGCUCACCAAGGCGACGAUACAUAGCCGACCUGAGAGGGUGAUCGGCCACACUGGGACUGAGACACGGCCCAGACUCCUACGGGAGGAAGCAGUAGGGAAUCUUCGGCAAUGGACGGAAGUCUGACCGAGCAACGCCGCGUGAGUGAAGAAGGUUUUCGGAUCGUAAAGCUCUGUUGUAAGAGAAGAACGAGUGUGAGAGUGGAAAGUUCACACUGUGACGGUAUCUUACCAGAAAGGGACGGCUAACUACGUG